This 120-nucleotide ribosomal RNA is filed under the name uncultured bacterium. Its description in RNAcentral is "partial 16S ribosomal RNA". It matches the Rfam family "Bacterial small subunit ribosomal RNA", at positions 29 to 140 of the family's 1533-position model. The record is from RNAcentral.
AACGAACGCUGGCGGCGUGGAUAAGACAUGCAAGUCGGACGCUAAUUAGAGGUUAGCAAUAAUCUUUAGUUGGAGUGGCGCAAGGGUGCGUAACACGUGGGUAAUCUGCCGUGAAGACUG